Molecule: long non-coding RNA, 336 nt
Organism: Lutra lutra (Eurasian river otter)
Lineage: Eukaryota; Metazoa; Chordata; Mammalia; Carnivora; Mustelidae
Exons: 3
Source: RefSeq, a predicted model, not a curated record
CUCUGAUGUGUUUCUCUUUGAUUCUUCCAGAGGCUCUGUCAGAGAGAACUCAGCUGCCAUGGGAAGUGGGCUACAGCCUUCACAGGACAUACAUGCUAAAAUACCAGAGUGGAAUGUUGUCCUGGUGUUUGAUAGGAUUCUCAGCCUUAGCCAAGUUUGGACUCUUGAAUAUUUGAAAGGACCAGAGGGUGGCAGACUGGAGCCACUUACUGUGGCUGCUCUUGAAAGGAAUCUAGCCUUCAUGCAAAAACACUGGCCUGGCCAUGGAGAGAGUUUGAAAACCAGUAAACCACUCAUCACACCUCUGUCAGGUCCCCCCCCCCCAAAACAUCUGGC